This 428-nucleotide ribosomal RNA is filed under the name uncultured bacterium. RNAcentral's name for it is "partial 16S ribosomal RNA". It matches the Rfam family "Bacterial small subunit ribosomal RNA", at positions 355 to 769 of the family's 1533-position model. The record is from RNAcentral.
UGGGGAAUUUUGGACAAUGGGCGAAAGCCUGAUCCAGCAAUGCCGCGUGUGUGAAGAAGGCCUUCGGGUUGUAAAGCACUUUUGUCCAGAAAGAAAUCCUUGGCUCUAAUACAGUCGGGGGAUGACGGUACCGGAAGAAUAAGCACCGGCUAACUACGUGCCAGCAGGCCGCGGUAAUACGUAGGGUGCAAGCGUUAAUCGGAAUUACUGGGGCGUGAAAAGCGUGCGCAGGCGGUUUGCUAAGACCGAUGUGAAAUCCCCGGGCUCAACCUGGGAACUGCAUUGGUGACUGGCAGGCUAGAGUAUGGCAGAGGGGGGUAGAAUUCCACGUGUAGCAGUGAAAUGCGUAGAGAUGUGGAGGAAUACCGAUGGCGAAGGCAGCCCCCUGGGCCAAUACUGACGCUCAUGCACGAAAAGCGUGGGGGAGC